GAGAGCGGUGUGAUGGGAGACUAUCACGCACCGUUCGCAGGGCGGCAGUCGACGCAAGAAGACGAGGCCGACCCAAC
Non-coding RNA from Blumeria graminis, 77 nucleotides. The record is from Rfam. NCBI's taxonomy places the organism in Eukaryota, Fungi, Ascomycota, Leotiomycetes, Helotiales, Erysiphaceae.